Ribosomal RNA from Cavia porcellus (domestic guinea pig), 109 nucleotides. Lineage: Eukaryota; Metazoa; Chordata; Mammalia; Rodentia; Caviidae. The record is from Ensembl.
GUCUAGGGCCAUACCACCCUGAAUGCGCCCAGUCUCAUCUGAUCUUGGAAACUAAGCAGGGUCGAGCCUGGUUAGUACUUGGAUAGGAGUAAAUAGAUUUAUUUAUUUA